Molecule: ribosomal RNA, 511 nt
Filed under: uncultured Veillonella sp.
Lineage: Bacteria; Bacillati; Bacillota; Negativicutes; Veillonellales; Veillonellaceae
Description: bacterial SSU rRNA
Rfam family: Bacterial small subunit ribosomal RNA
Source: RNAcentral
GACGAACGCUGGCGGCGUGCUUAACACAUGCAAGUCGAACGAAGAGCGAUGGAAGCUUGCUUCUAUCAAUCUUAGUGGCGAACGGGUGAGUAACGCGUAAUCAACCUGCCCUUCAGAGGGGGACAACAGUUGGAAGCGACUGCUAAUACCGCAUACGAUCCAAUCUCGGCAUCGAGGAUGGAUGAAAGGUGGCCUCUAUUUAUAAGCUAUCACUGAAGGAGGGGAUUGCGUCUGAUUAGCUAGUUGGAGGGGUAACGGCCCACCAAGGCAAUGAUCAGUAGCCGGUCUGAGAGGAUGAACGGCCACAUUGGGACUGAGACACGGCCCAGACUCCUACGGGAGGCAGCAGUGGGGAAUCUUCCGCAAUGGACGAAAGUCUGACGGAGCAACGCCGCGUGAGUGAUGACGGCCUUCGGGUUGUAAAGCUCUGUUAAUCGGGACGAAAGGUCCUCUUGCGAAUAGUUAGAGGAAUUGACGGUACCGGAAUAGAAAGCCACGGCUAACUACGUGC